This 1510-nucleotide ribosomal RNA is filed under the name Klebsiella pneumoniae. Its description in RNAcentral is "bacterial SSU rRNA". It matches the Rfam family "Bacterial small subunit ribosomal RNA". Lineage: Bacteria; Pseudomonadati; Pseudomonadota; Gammaproteobacteria; Enterobacterales; Enterobacteriaceae. The record is from RNAcentral.
AGAGUUUGAUCAUGGCUCAGAUUGAACGCUGGCGGCAGGCCUAACACAUGCAAGUCGAGCGGUAGCACAGAGAGCUUGCUCUCGGGUGACGAGCGGCGGACGGGUGAGUAAUGUCUGGGAAACUGCCUGAUGGAGGGGGAUAACUACUGGAAACGGUAGCUAAUACCGCAUAAUGUCGCAAGACCAAAGUGGGGGACCUUCGGGCCUCAUGCCAUCAGAUGUGCCCAGAUGGGAUUAGCUAGUAGGUGGGGUAACGGCUCACCUAGGCGACGAUCCCUAGCUGGUCUGAGAGGAUGACCAGCCACACUGGAACUGAGACACGGUCCAGACUCCUACGGGAGGCAGCAGUGGGGAAUAUUGCACAAUGGGCGCAAGCCUGAUGCAGCCAUGCCGCGUGUGUGAAGAAGGCCUUCGGGUUGUAAAGCACUUUCAGCGGGGAGGAAGGCGNCGAUUGACGUUACCCGCAGAAGAAGCACCGGCUAACUCCGUGCCAGCAGCCGCGGUAAUACGGAGGGUGCAAGCGUUAAUCGGAAUUACUGGGCGUAAAGCGCACGCAGGCGGUCUGUCAAGUCGGAUGUGAAAUCCCCGGGCUCAACCUGGGAACUGCAUUCGAAACUGGCAGGCUAGAGUCUUGUAGAGGGGGGUAGAAUUCCAGGUGUAGCGGUGAAAUGCGUAGAGAUCUGGAGGAAUACCGGUGGCGAAGGCGGCCCCCUGGACAAAGACUGACGCUCAGGUGCGAAAGCGUGGGGAGCAAACAGGAUUAGAUACCCUGGUAGUCCACGCCGUAAACGAUGUCGAUUUGGAGGUUGUGCCCUUGAGGCGUGGCUUCCGGAGCUAACGCGUUAAAUCGACCGCCUGGGGAGUACGGCCGCAAGGUUAAAACUCAAAUGAAUUGACGGGGGCCCGCACAAGCGGUGGAGCAUGUGGUUUAAUUCGAUGCAACGCGAAGAACCUUACCUGGUCUUGACAUCCACAGAACUUUCCAGAGAUGGAUUGGUGCCUUCGGGAACUGUGAGACAGGUGCUGCAUGGCUGUCGUCAGCUCGUGUUGUGAAAUGUUGGGUUAAGUCCCGCAACGAGCGCAACCCUUAUCCUUUGUUGCCAGCGGUCAGGCCGGGAACUCAAAGGAGACUGCCAGUGAUAAACUGGAGGAAGGUGGGGAUGACGUCAAGUCAUCAUGGCCCUUACGACCAGGGCUACACACGUGCUACAAUGGCAUAUACAAAGAGAAGCGACCUCGCGAGAGCAAGCGGACCUCAUAAAGUAUGUCGUAGUCCGGAUUGGAGUCUGCAACUCGACUCCAUGAAGUCGGAAUCGCUAGUAAUCGUAGAUCAGAAUGCUACGGUGAAUACGUUCCCGGGCCUUGUACACACCGCCCGUCACACCAUGGGAGUGGGUUGCAAAAGAAGUAGGUAGCUUAACCUUCGGGAGGGCGCUUACCACUUUGUGAUUCAUGACUGGGGUGAAGUCGUAACAAGGUAACCGUAGGGGAACCUGCGGUUGGAUCACCU